Molecule: ribosomal RNA, 259 nt
Filed under: uncultured bacterium
Lineage: Bacteria
Description: partial 16S ribosomal RNA
Rfam family: Bacterial small subunit ribosomal RNA
Source: RNAcentral
GUCCACGCCCUAAACGAUGUACACUAGUUGUUGUGAGACUUGAUCUUGCAGUAAUGCAGUUAACACAUUAAGUGUACCGCCUGGGGAGUACGGUCGCAAGAUUAAAACUCAAAGGAAUAGACGGGGACCCGCACAAGCGGUGGAGCAUGUGGUUUAAUUCGACGAUACACGAAGAACCUUACCUGGACUUGACAUAUCGGUGAAGCCGGAGAGAUCCGGUGGCCGAGAGGAGCCGAUACAGGUGGUGCAUGGCUGUCGU